GACCCGUUGGUCAAGUGGUUAAGACACCACCCUUUCACGGUGGUAUCAUGGGUUCGAAUC
RNAcentral lists this transfer RNA (60 nucleotides) under Limosilactobacillus fermentum. RNAcentral's name for it is "Lactobacillus fermentum tRNA-Glu". It matches the Rfam family "tRNA", at positions 1 to 59 of the family's 71-position model. Rfam says of the family: Transfer RNA (tRNA) molecules are approximately 80 nucleotides in length. Their secondary structure includes four short double-helical elements and three loops (D, anti-codon, and T loops). The record is from RNAcentral. Lineage: Bacteria; Bacillati; Bacillota; Bacilli; Lactobacillales; Lactobacillaceae.